AGAAUAAAUCAGAUGAGAGACUUUACUCUGUAUAAAUAAAAAAUAGUGGAGGCUGUCCGAGGCCCCUCUCAAUACAUAAUGGUUUAGUCCACCCCUGAAGCUGCAGGUGCGCCAGGAUGCGUCUCCAAACAGCGGAGAGGCUGCGGCUCAUCAAGAAAGCAAAAUCAGGGAGCCUUAAACGCAAGGAAAAGGCAGAGAGGGAAAGAAAGCAAGGAGAGGGAAGAAAACUCCUCACACAUCUCUUUUGAAAGAAAGAUCCAAAGCCACCACCUGUGAAUCUACAGUUGUGGAGAUAAAUUAGACCUGCAUGCGGGACUACAAGGAAGACAGUGAGCAGUAACCAACGAAUACCAUGGCUCAGACGUUGGCCUGUGACUUCAAAUUGCCCCGAGCCUGUCAUCCUUUGGGCCAAACUUCCAUGGGCUCUGUGGUGCGCAGGUUCCGAGUCACGCGGGAGGGCUUGGCCCCCGUUCAUAACUGCUUACAUUUGAAAUACUACAGAUUUGUCUAUCAAUAGAAGAAUAAUUAUAUGAUUAAAGUUCCUUUUAGUCAGUACACACUUUUGUAUGACCGGGGGAUUCUGAAGGUAUUUUAUAUCAACAAUAGGUUAUAUUCAAAUAUGUAAUAUUUGUUCACAUAGUGAAAAACCCAGCUCAGUGGUCUAAUGUGGAUGUUGGACACAAACAUGACUCUUAAUGAAUGAUAAAGUUGCUCUAUGUCUGUUGGAUGUGUAAAAAAGCAAUGUUUGCCAACAUAUUGUCCACAACCACUUAAUUUGGUGAUAAGAUGUCAGAUGUGUUUACAACUUGUUCUGUAGCCCCCUUCUGUAGUGGACAAAAAAAGCAUUACUGGAGAUUAAACCCACUGUGAUGUUGAAACUUACUUGAUAGCAUGUCAGAUAACAACAUCUAUCUUCUGGGAGAGGCCGAAAUAUAGCAAUAUUUGUUUUUAUUUGUUGCACCCUUAACACUACA
Long non-coding RNA from Acanthopagrus latus (yellowfin seabream), 974 nucleotides. RefSeq lists it as uncharacterized. Lineage: Eukaryota; Metazoa; Chordata; Actinopteri; Spariformes; Sparidae. The record is from RefSeq and is a predicted model, not a curated record. The transcript is spliced from 3 exons.